Rhincodon typus (whale shark) is the source of this 141-nucleotide small nuclear RNA. RefSeq annotates it as U4 spliceosomal RNA. Lineage: Eukaryota; Metazoa; Chordata; Chondrichthyes; Orectolobiformes; Rhincodontidae. The record is from RefSeq and is a predicted model, not a curated record. The transcript has a single exon.
AGGUUUGCGCAGUGGCAGGAUUGUACCUUAUGAGGUUUAACUGAAGCGCGAUUAUUGCUUAUUGAAAAUUUUAGCCAUUACCUGGCUGUGGUGACUUGCAAUGAAGUCAAUCAUAACAAUUUUUGAUGGUUUCUGUGGAGA